GAUCAUGGCUCAGGAUGAACGCUGGCGGCGUGCCUAACACAUGCAAGUCGAACGAGGUAAAUAAGAGGAAGUUUUCGGAUGGAAUCGUAUUUACCGAGUGGCGGACGGGUGAGUAACGCGUGGAUAACCUGCCUCAUACAGGGGGAUAACAGUUAGAAAUGACUGCUAAUACCGCAUAAGCGCACAGUACCGCAUGGUACGUGUGAAACUACCGUCGGUAGUGAGAUGGAGUCCGCCGU
This 239-nucleotide ribosomal RNA is filed under the name uncultured bacterium. Its description in RNAcentral is "partial 16S ribosomal RNA". It matches the Rfam family "Bacterial small subunit ribosomal RNA", at positions 15 to 239 of the family's 1533-position model. The record is from RNAcentral.